UGUGUAGGGGGUUGGGGGGUGCGCAUUGCCUUCUGGUGCUGGCACCUGAGCGUGCAAGCGCGCGCAUAAUUUUUGGCACAGGAGC
Non-coding RNA from Notechis scutatus (mainland tiger snake), 85 nucleotides. The record is from RefSeq and is a predicted model, not a curated record. NCBI's taxonomy places the organism in Eukaryota, Metazoa, Chordata, Lepidosauria, Squamata, Elapidae.